CAGUCGCCACGGUAAUACGAAGGGGGCUAGCGUUGCUCGGAAUCACUGGGCGUGAAGGGUGCGUAGGCGGGUCUUUAAGUCAGGGGUGAAAUCCUGGAGCUCAACUCCAGAACUGCCUUUGAUACUGAAGAUCUUGAGUUCGGGAGAGGUGAGUGGAACUGCGAGUGUAGAGGUGAAAUUCGUAGAUAUUCGCAAGAACACCAGUGGCGAAGGCGGCUUACUGGCUCGAAACUGACGCUGAGGCGCGAAAGCGUGGGGAGCAAACAGGAUUAGAUACCCCAGUAGUCCCUGUCUCUUAUAC
This 301-nucleotide ribosomal RNA is filed under the name uncultured bacterium. Its description in RNAcentral is "partial 16S ribosomal RNA". It matches the Rfam family "Bacterial small subunit ribosomal RNA", at positions 509 to 807 of the family's 1533-position model. The record is from RNAcentral.